GACGAACGCUGGCGGCGUGCUUAACACAUGCAAGUCGAACGGUGAAGCGCCUUCCUUUUUGGUGGGUGUGGAUGAGUGGCGAACGGGUGAGUAACACGUGAGUAACCUGCCCCCUUCUUCUGGAUAACCGCAUGAAAGUGUGGCUAAUACGGGAUAUUCUGGGUCUGUCGCAUGAUGGGUCUGGGAAAGAUAUUGUUUCGGUGGGGGAUGGGCUCGCGGCCUAUCAGCUUGUUGGUGGGGUGAUGGCCUACCAAGGCGGUGACGGGUAGCCGGCCUGAGAGGGUGGACGGUCACACUGGGGCUGAGACACGGCCCAGACUCCUACGGGAGGCAGCAGUGGGGAAUAUUGCACAAUGGGCGCAAGCCUGAUGCAGCGACGCCGCGUGAGGGAUGGAGGCCUUCGGGUUGUGAACCUCUUUCGCCAGUGAAGCAGGCCUGCCUCGUUUGUGGGUGGGUUGACGGCAGCUGGAUAAGAAGCGCCGGCUAACUACGUG
This 494-nucleotide ribosomal RNA is filed under the name uncultured bacterium. RNAcentral describes it as "partial 16S ribosomal RNA". It matches the Rfam family "Bacterial small subunit ribosomal RNA", at positions 28 to 507 of the family's 1533-position model. The record is from RNAcentral.